UACGUACUCCCUCCGUCUGAAAAAACUUGUCCCAUAAAUACAUGUAUCUAGCACCAAGUUAGUGCUAGAUACAUCCAUUUGAAAGAUAAGCUUGAGACAAGUUUUUCCGGACGGAGGGAGUAGAAG
This is a non-coding RNA of Triticum aestivum (bread wheat), 126 nucleotides long. The record is from Rfam. Lineage: Eukaryota; Viridiplantae; Streptophyta; Magnoliopsida; Poales; Poaceae.